RNAcentral lists this transfer RNA (57 nucleotides) under Lynceus grossipedia. RNAcentral describes it as "tRNA-Ser". The record is from RNAcentral. Lineage: Eukaryota; Metazoa; Arthropoda; Branchiopoda; Diplostraca; Lynceidae.
GAAAUGAUAAAUUAUAAAGCUGCUAACUUUAGAAAAAGUAUAAAUACUUUCAUUUCU